Molecule: non-coding RNA, 4524 nt
Organism: Rattus norvegicus (Norway rat)
Lineage: Eukaryota; Metazoa; Chordata; Mammalia; Rodentia; Muridae
Source: RefSeq, a predicted model, not a curated record
ACUACGCGUGCGUCGCCCCGCCUCCCGGACAGUCCUUGCGCAGGCGCGAGUCUCACUGGGCUAGGCCCGCCUCCGGGCCCGCCCCACCCUCGCGCCAGCCGUUCCCAGGCUCCGCCCUGAUCCACUGACCUUGCAUCUUUGCCCCCUGACUCAGGUCUUUUCUGGUAUGAACCUUUCACUCCAGUCUCUUGGCCGACCAACUCAAAAUGGCCCUCUGGAUUCAAAUGUGCUGCUUGACCACGACCAAACCUGUCAGCUCCUGCUCCAGACUACUAGGAGUGAUCUGAAGCAACCAUGACUUUGUUUUGGCCUGUCUGUGGCUAUGCCUCAGCCAGGCAUACUGAAUCUGAGCAGAGAUUGCGAUAAAACGCUGAGAGCUGAGAAAAGGAGCUAUCUUAUGAGGGUGUGGAUCUCAAUCCCAUUCCAUAAAUCAUCUCUCCAAGUCAUUGAGAGUUACCGUGCAAGCCUGCAGUAUCUGGCUAUCUAUUAUAAGCGUUGAAAGUGAUUAUUUAUCUGACCCUAGACUGCCUGUUCCCCUCACUAGCCCCAACAGCUCAAAUGAAAUUAAUAACAUUGAAAGAGAACUUGGAAAGGCACCACCUCUCCUCCAGACCACUAACAUAAUUACGCUGUGAUAGGGGAGGAGACACUUGUGCCCCUCCCUUAGUCCAUCAGACUGUUGGAACAUUAUACUCCAAAUAAUUUAAGAAAAUAGAUAAUUCAUCCUGGAGAAAUGAAAACAAUACCGAAGGCCUAGCGCCGUCCGGAGAAGGAGCUUGCCUCUCAGGAAUUGCAGCUCUGAGGUCUCAGAUCACUUCGCGAGAUAGCCUUGAGUGAGCUGAAACAACGCUAGGUCAGCAAUACCGCACCGUAACCUAGCGGAGUAUUCAAUUUACCACUAUUUCUAGCUCUCUAUUUAAACUUAAACUUCUUGUCAGUACUCCUGAAGGCGGACUUGGUGGUAACUGGACCCCUUUUCUUCCUCCAAUUCCCUAUGUGGCCAUAUUGAAUAGCUCUCUUUUUUAUACGUUCCAUUAUUACUUGUCUCUUUAAUUGGCCAAUAGAAUAAUGAUAGGGAGACUUAAUUUUGUGGGUGAUAAAAUGUUGGAAAAGACUAGGGUUACAUGUAGUACAUUUCUUUGUAGAUUAAGUAAAUCAUUAGGAGAGCAAAGCCUCAGACCUCUGAAAUACAGGCUCCAGCACAACACUCAUGAAUUUAUGCUAUGCUUUGAACUUUAUGCUACAAUCAAAGAUCAGUUGAGAGAUGGGGAAAAAGGGGCUCUUCACAGAUUGUCCUUGGGAGCUACGCAAGAUGCAACAGGUCCAAUCCGCUUUAUAAAGACUCUGGGAGGGGGGAGGAUGAUCUUUCAGUUCCCCAAACCAAGAUGAGCUUUGCUUUUCUGAACCACUUGGCUGUUGUCUUGUGACUCCCGGAAUAUUUGAGGCACCAGAAGCAUGCCUGAUUUCCACAGAGGCCAGAAGCAGGCACAGAUCCCCUGGAGUUAGAGGUGUUUGUGGCUGCCAUGUUGGUGCUGGGAAGAAAACCAAGGUGCUCUGUAAGAGCAGCCAUCUUUAUGGCUGAGCCAUCUCUCCAGCCCAGUUGACCAAGACCUUUAAGAGACUGACAGCACUAAACAUAUAAAGACUGUGGAGUAACCAGAAGGCUCCCGUAUUACUGAUGGUAUGUGGGAGGGAGCAAAUGGUUAAGGAUUGGAUUGCACUGUGACAGUUUCCGAUAAAGUUAAACAGACCUCUGCCUAUGACCCCACAACUCCAUUUUCAGAUACUUAAUCAAGAAAAAUGAAAAUAUAUAUCCACAAAGUGACUUAGACAAGAUUGUUUAUACUGACCCAAACUGGAAGUAAUUUUGUAUGCAUGAAUAGUUGCUGUGUGACUACCUAAGAAAACCUACUUUAAAAAAGGGGGGGGGGGAUUUUUUUUAACUUACUUUUUAGUGUCAGUCCAUGCUUACUUGCCCCUGUUGCUUCAAGCCUGUCAUGAGGCACAGCACAUCCAUCGAGCACCUGGCAGGGCCUGAAGAGGGAGCAUUUUUGGCUGCAUUCAGAGCCUGGAAGGGAGCAUCCACUUCAAGAGCACAGACCCAUUGACAGAAUAACCAACAGCAACUAAGCCUUUAUUUAGCACCAGAAUUUGGGAGGAACACCUAAGAUUCAAACCUUAACAACAGGUAAAUGAAUGAAGAGCUCAAGGUAUAUUAGUAAAAUAAUACUGAAUUAGUAUUUAAAAGGGAUGAGUUUCUGAUACACGCCAAGGAAGCCAAACACGAGACUACCUACUGCCCAGUUUUGCCCAUAAAAUUCUACAGCAGAAAAGCCCUCAUUUCUGAUGACCGCGACUGCAGCAGUGGAAGCCACAAGAAAUUACAAGGCCCAUCAUUCCGUCUGUGACGGCAGUUGACUUGUGCCUGGCCAUUAGAAUUCUGUUCCACUGAUUUCUCUAAACAUACAUUGCCAGCCUGCUUUUCACGCAGAAGAAUACAGGCUAUUAUCUUGUACAGCAGCUCCGUAGCUUCUACUGUUCCCUCUCCCACGGAUUUCUCUGACUUUCUUUUUAACUUGAUUUGAAUAUAUUUCACCCAGGGAGUGGCACUAAUAGGAGGUGUGGCCUUAUUGGAGUAGCUGUGGCCUUGUUGGAGGAAGUGUGUCACUGUGGGCGUGGCCUUUAAGACCCUCCUCCUAGCUGCCUGGAAACCUGUCUUCGCCUAGAGGCCUUCAAAUGAAAAUGGGGAUCUCUCAGCUCCUUCUGUACCAGGCCUGCCUGGACACUGCCACACUUCCCACCAUGAUGACAAUUGACUGCACCGCAGAACCUGUAAGCCAGCCCGAUUAAAUGGUGUCUUUUAUAAUAGUUACCUUUGUCAUGGUAUCUCUUCACACCAAUGGAAACCCCUAACUAUGUGGCUUUGAUUGGCCUGGAAAUCGAUAUGUAGAUAGACCAGGCUGGCUAAACUCACAGAGAUCCCACUGCCUCUGCGUCUUGAGUAUAGGAUUGAAGGUGUCUACCAACAGGACCAGCGUUUCCUGAUUGUUCUUGCUUAAAUGUUCAUCCAAAUAAAUUUUAUAAUAAACUUGUCUAGUUUCAAGGUGAAUAUCAUGUGCUAUUUACAUUUUUAAGAAUGGCUUUGCUUUUAUAAACUAGAUCUACGUCUCCUCAUAUAAAACCUGAUCUUUAAGAUUGAAUCUUUCUAUUCAUCAAUGUGGUAUGCCUUUCUGAAAAACUUUUUCAACUCUUCUUUAAUGAUAUCAUAACUACUAUAUACUUUCUAUAUUUUCAGUUUUAUGUUUAAUAGUGUGUGUAGUUCUUGUCCUUUAUGUCUCUAUUUGCUCCUAGUGAGAGGCCAUCGGGUUUUAAUAUGUUCUUUUUUUCCCUCAAAACGAUGUCUAUGUAACCCUGUCUGUCAUGAAACUAAGCAAGUAGACAAGUCUGUAUUCAAAUUCAUAGAGCUCUUUCUACCUCUGCCUCCCAGCUGCUGGGAUGAAAGGCUUCCUGCACUCUAGAGAAGUGCAUAGAACACUGAAGACAGAGACCCAGACAAAGAGACCUGAGAGGAGCAAGAAACCUCCGGAAGAAAAGUGUUCCUACCACUUCUCUCCUCCAGAAACAACCAGAAAUCAUGUUCAGAGAAGUGAGAGAGAAAAUCAUGCUGCAGAAACAAGAAUACACAUGUUGCUUUCUUUUCUUCUUCUUCUUCUUCUUCUUCUUCUUCUUCUUCUUCUUCUUCUUCUUCUUCUUCUUCUUCUUCUUUUUUCUUAAAGAAAGGAAAACUCUUAUAGGGUAAGAGAGCCCUUGGAAAUGAAGGACAUGCAAACUCAGUAGAAAAAAUGAGGAGAACAUUUGAAAAAGAUCUGCAAAUAGGAACAAACAGUAAAAGACAGAGAAUAAAGGGGAAGGAAGGCCCGUUUAAUUAGACCCUAAAGCUUGCCAAAGUCUUUGAGUACUUAGAGAUAAACUCCUUAGUGGGGGAUGGGGUGCUCAUGAGGAUGCAGACUUAAUGUGGUUAGGAUUCCAAGAAGUUCUCCUCAGAGUUUAGGCAGGUAGGACAGCUAGCUGCUCAGUCUGCUCUAGUGAGCUGCCAGUGAUAAUCUCCUCGAUACUCGCCCCCAGUAGAGCCAUCCUAACUUUCAGACCUAGUCCAGGCACAGGGAGGACCUCUUAAGGAUGGCCCAGACCCUCAUCUUGUCUCCUACUCUUAGACAGUUCUUAGCACUCUGGUCCUAAACCUUCCUGAUAUUGCAAAUAGCUUGUUUCUCUUCUUUCUGUGGUUUUUAAAGACCUUUCAGGCAAAGCUCAAAAAGUAUUUACACCUACAAACAAAACAGAAGUGUCUUUAAAGCUAAAGAAGCACCCUCCACACCCCUACCACACCCACACCCAAUGCUUAGAAACACAGUGAUCAAGGUCUCCUAGCAGGGAGAAAGAAAAUAAAACUGCCUUUGCUGCUUCCAAUGAAUGACCCUCUGUUACUAAGAAGGGAGAGAAGGCUACUUGCUAAAGCUGCAUAAA